Long non-coding RNA from Lotus japonicus, 2847 nucleotides. RefSeq lists it as uncharacterized. Lineage: Eukaryota; Viridiplantae; Streptophyta; Magnoliopsida; Fabales; Fabaceae. The transcript is spliced from 6 exons. The record is from RefSeq and is a predicted model, not a curated record.
UUGUGGGAAUUGGAAACUUUUGAAAUUCAAAUUGAAUCACUUUUAUCUCUCUCUCUCUCUCUCUCCAUAUUUGUUUUCAAAUUCUGGAUCUGUCUCAAAAUUAUUUUCCUCUUCCUGCUCCGGAAACUCAUCUCACCUUCUUUCUCUGCUAAUGGUGGCGCUAGAUCAUCAACGACCGUGCAUACCUUCCUUGCACCGCCACCGCUCCCUCCCACGCCCAGCCGCCGCCGGCUGUAGGCCCCCUCUCCCUCUCUCACUCCCAGCCGCUCUCUUGCUCUCUCUCUCCCUCUGCAGAUCUUCAAUCGCGCCCAAAUCUCCAGAUCUCGCGCGUCCUCUCCCUCGAAGCCACACACAACAACUUUCAAACCCCGGUGCUUCCGAAAAAUCCAUCGGGUAUUGGUAUUAAGGAAAGGUAUCACCUUGUGCUGAGACAGAAGCUUUCAGGGUUCUUUGUGAAUUUUUUUAGAGCUUUUGAUUUCUAUCUGGGGCCUGGAGUUUGGAGAGCUUGAUAGGUGAAGAUGCUAACAUAUGGAGAAUCCAGAAUUCACUUGAAGAGGGUAUUGCAAGGCUUUUCCAUCGGAUCGAAAUGCACAGAUUGAAAGCAUUUUGACAGAGCAUUGCAGAUCGAUGAACUCUUACAUGUGAUAUGGACGGAUCUUUAGCCUUUUCAUGGAUCACGAACAUGGAACUUUGAGCUCCAUCAGAUAUGGUCGGUUCAUGCUUCCUAAAUCUGGGUUUUGUUGAAAUGAGGGCCUGAAGAUCUGUAUAUCUCAAGACUGAGAGAUUAAAGAUGAUAUGUCUAAAGGAGGAGAAAAAACCUGAAGAGAGGAAAGCUCAUGCUCUGUUUGAGGUGAGUUUCUGUUUGAUCACUGGAGCAUCCUUAUUUUGAUUAUCUUCAAUGGUCUAAGUGUUGCUUAAAACUAGCUAUAAGAAUCGUGCAAUUUCAUGAAGCUACUGUCUCCAUUAGAUUUACUGUCAUUGGUUCUCAGGAGGACAAGUACAAGUGCUUACAAAGGACAAGUGCUUAAGGAGGACAAAAAUCUGACGUGUCCUUAGCUGAGCACCCCUCCACGUGUCAUAUUCUCACCCCUCCACGUGUCAUAUUCUCAGACGGUUUUAUAUGGAAGUCCUUUUAGUCUUCACUUUAGCAGAACCCGUUUGUUGAUGCUUUCCCAUUUCGUUGGCCACAGAUUUGCUCAAUGUCAAUUACGGGUCUCGCACAAAUCAAAUUUCUUGGCGCUAUAGAUCUCCAGUUGUAUAAAUUCAGUCCAAGCCAAGCGUAUCAACCACACUCAUUCACAAACAAAGCAAUUCACAAAUCGACUCCCACCACCACCGAAACCCCCAACCAUCUCGCCGUCGCCAGAAAAAGCGACUUGCGAUUCGAGAACCCCAUCCUCAACUCGCUCGACUCCAAAUUGAACGGUCUCUUGGCUGAAGCCUCUUCCGAAGAAAAUCCGGCCAGUCCACGGUUCAUUUUUUUUCACCAGAGACCUUCACACUCAAUUGUGCUUUUACGAUGAGACUAUUGUUCAAAUGAUCGAAAAGAAAGGGAGAUUGUGAAAGAUGAAUUCUAGCAAGGAAGUGGCUUACUGAUUUGGCUUAUGGUAUGUCUGUUGUUUGAUUAUCUGCUAUGGACAAAUUCUAAUGCCAUCCUCUCCACCCUGGCUGCCUUUAUUUUGGAUUUGCUGAAAAUUGUUUGUUUUCUCUGCACUGUCAUUUCCUAAAAUCUCUCGCUAUUCCCCUAAUAGGGUCCCUAUCCUCUUCAAUGUCUUUUUACCUCGAUUGGAUUUCAAAUUUUGGGAAAAAAAAAUACCAAUUGGAUUUCUGAGAAUGUGAUCAUUGAACAUUUCCUUUCUUGGUGGAAUUUUAGUAUUAUCCAUCUUUUCUCAUUCUGCAUAUGGAAUUGGUUUUCCUUAGUAUUUAGAUGUGUUUAUACUAUGAUUUAAUAUUUUACCCAAUUAACACUUUAUUUUAUUGGCACUGAUGGCUAAGAAUGAAGAAGAAGAAUUCAACACUAGACCACUAUCUGUUCUGAUGAUGAGUAUUAAAAAUGAUACUCAUGUAUGUUUUUUUAACAUUAGAUAGUAACAUGGAUUCUGAGGCAGCCCCUAGAAGGCAUUUUAUGUCUGAGGUUUUAACCAGACACUUUAACUUCAGUAGCAAGAAGCUUCUGGGUCGUGGCAUGGCUUUUCAUAGGCACCGCAACAUGGUUCAGGAUCAAAAUUUUAAAAAUAGUUUAUUCGAUGAAAACUAAAUAGUGAAGAAGCAAGAAUCAAAUAAUCAUCCAGCCAACUGCUGAACCUGAAAGUACAAUUUUUCGAAAUCAGAUUGGAAAUGUCCUUUGCAGUAUGCAGGUGGGAAUCUUUAUCUGAAUUUGCAGGUGCUGUUUUAUGAUGUUCAUAUGGAAAUUUAGGCUGUUAAAUGCUCAAAUCCUGAGUUACCAUGCAUUUGUAAGAAGAGAUUCAUGUGUGUUGGCCGAUACUGUUAGGAUAAUGAAGAUGAGUUGAGGUAGGUAGUUGGAAUUAGCAAGGUGGGUUAGUUAGUUUUAGAAGAGAUUAGUUAGUUGUAGCUAAAUAGAGAAAAUUAGGAUGGAGAGUCAUUCUCUCUGAUUUUUAAAAUGUGUGAAAGGAGAAGUCCAUUAUUGAAGCCCCAUGGAUGAGAGCUAUCUAUCCUGUUUUUAAUCAGUCAAUAAACAUGCUAAUUGCUUUUCAAUAUUUUUUAAUAACUUCCCUUUUUUCAUCUUUUAUGUUGAAGCUACAAGAGGAAGAUACACUUACUGCCUCCUUACACCAUUUUUUCCACUUAUUUCAGGAACAACUUUUUGAAUGAUUUGCCUUCCUUGGA